CCUACGGGCGGCAGCAGUGGGGAAUAUUGCACAAUGGAGGAAACCCUGAUGCAGCGACGCCGCGUGAGUGAAGAAGUAUUUCGGUAUGUAAAGCUCUAUCAGCAGGGAAGAAAAUGAAGGUACCUGAUUAAGAAGCCCCGGCUAACAACGUGCCAGCAGCCGCGGUAAUACGUAGGGCGCAAGCGUUAUCCGGAUUUAGUGGGCGUAAAGGGAGCGUAGACGGUAGCACAAGUAUGGAGUGAAAGGCCGGGGCUCAACCCCGGAAGUGCAUUGGAAACUGGGCAGCUAGAGUGCAGGAGAGGUGAGUGGAAUUCCAAGUGUAGCGGUGAAAUGCGUAGAUAUUAGGAGGAACACCAGUGGCGAAGGCGGCUUUCUGGACUGUAACUGACGUUGAGGCUCGAAAGCGUGGGGAGCAAACAGGAUUAGAUACCCCAGUAGUC
Molecule: ribosomal RNA, 440 nt
Filed under: uncultured bacterium
Lineage: Bacteria
Description: partial 16S ribosomal RNA
Rfam family: Bacterial small subunit ribosomal RNA
Source: RNAcentral